UGUACUUUUAUGCCAAUUGGAAUUAAAACUAAUGUUUUUUAAUUUUGUAGACGAAGUUACUACCUACAUGAAUCAACUAUAAAGACUUGAUCGACAAGGAUUUAAAACAGACUUAUGUGCAAAGGAAACAAUACCUUCUAUAGAGACUUGCACCCCUCGUUUGUCCCUUAUAUAAGGUAGGAACUUAUAGAACUUAUUUUUAAUAAUAAAUAAGAAUAGAAGUAGACGCAAUUAAUAAAUGUUGAUUUUCAAUUACAUUAAGUUAACUCCCUAUUAAUGGUAACCUGAAAUGUUUAUUAAUCCAGAAAAAAAUUCAUUUAUUAAAUUUCAAAACUUUCGCGCCUGAAUCCCCAAAAGUUGGUAUUGAAACCCUCUCGUCUCUGAUUGGUCGGUCAACAAUGCAUCUUUCAAGUGACGCCAUUCUUACAAAAUUUUCCUCUCAAACUUAGCUCCACAAUUUUUGGAAAUUUCUUAUAGUGAAAACGCAAGACCCUACGAUUUUUUUAUCAAAACGCGUUCUUUUAAUAGUCCGCUACAUGAGUAACUGGAAUGGAUUUUAUUAGUUUUUAAUUGUAAGACUUCAUCAACAUAUCAUCAAUACUCCACUACAAAGAUUUAAUUCACAUCAAGCUGAAAGCCUCCUUCAGUACAAAGGAAAUAGGACAUCCCUACAUCUCUGUUGAAGCUGCCAUCCACUGUCAUAACUUUUAAUUGGACUGAAAAUUAUACACCUUCGAAGUAAUGGCAACACCUACACUAACCAACUGGGAUGGACUCAAAUGAUAUGGACUUCUAAAAAGGCUUCUACUCCAUAUAUUAGGAUUAUAACGUACGUACUAGUCGACCCAAGUAAGAAUCAGGAUAAAAAACUAACAGCUUACAAGUACACCGUUUCACUACUGAUAUGAUGCUUCUCGAUGGUCCCCCACCACCACCCAGUCUCGCAUAGCAUUCGCUCCCCCUCCCACCAAGCAACACGGAGAGGAUGAGGACCCUGGACAUCCAACGCUGGAUAGAUUAAGGUUUCGGUGAACCCUAUAAGGUCUAGCCGACGCCUCAAAGUAGGUCACUAAUGAAUUUUGCUUCAAAUAGACCUGAGUGACAAGUUUUUAUAUUUCUAUUUUUGAUUUUUAUUACUUUGGGGCUAUAUUUGAUUUUCGUGCCCAAUAAGAUAAGUUACAAACUGUAAUUUAGUGUACUAUUGGGCUCCUCUGUUGGUCCAUUAUUACCCACUUUAGACGCUCCACGUGUUAGGGACCGACGUAUGCAGGUGCUGCGCCUGUGACGUCAAACUUUGAUUCUCAUUUGGGUUUUAUAAUGAUUAGCUGUUGGUUCAGGUCCUUUACAACGUAUCACAUAUCCAUAUCUAUCUGUUGUUGUUUUUUGAUGAACUGAUGUUAUAAAAUAGAGAACAUUUAAAAUUACGAUUGUAAUACAUGCAUGGUGUUUUGUCCACGUUGUCCCUUGGGUUUUGUGUUCCACAUACAUACAAACUUUUUACAAAUUUAUUAAAUGUUGUGCAUGUUUACUUGUCACUCGUUGGGUCUAUCUGAUAUUUCUUUCAGCUAGUGGAUAUAACAGAGCAGUAAAGAAGACAGUGUUGUUGAAAAGUUAAGUGUUGGAGUAAUGUAGCCGAGAUCUACCUCUACUUCUCUUUACUCCUGUUUCUGCUUCUCAUGUCUCAGAUGGUGUCCUACCAACUUUCUUUAAUUGAUUAUCAAAAUUAAUUUAUUUCAAUCAUCCUGCAUUUUCAAAAUCUCAUUUUUACCAAAACUAAUGCUACCCAUCUGAAGCACACACUCAUAGUAUAUAAAAUAUUAAAAGUUAAAAUAAAUCAAGGAGCAGAUAUAGAAAUUUUUGUUUGGGAGGAGUUUAGUAUUUAAUCCCAUCCCCACCAGGGAGUGUAACACCUCCAUGGAAAGCUCAAGAGUCGAGGAACAAUUUGGUGGGGAUCUGGGUUGUAGAAACCCCUGAUUCAAAAGCUGUGAAUUACGCCCAUCUCCUUAGACAAUCCAUGGGACAAGAGCUUGACUGAUGCUGUAUGGUUCGGUUGGGGCAGGUGUUUUGGAAUAGUCAUGGCGUUUAAAAUAUUAGAUAAACCUUUCUCCCACGUAUUGUCUAUGGAGAAGAGGUUUUUGGCAACCUGGACCCCCACCAAUGUAUUCCUCUACUCAAAUACUAAACUUCAGUCUUUUGUAUCACAAUCUAAACUUGACAAUUACCCCGAUUUUGUAAGUAAUGAAGGACAUACAGUACUAACACUCUACCAGUGGGUUCACAAUAAAUUACAUGUGUUUUAUUUUUUACUUUUGAAUAUGUUCCAGCACGAGCGGUAAGUAAAGAAAUACUUUACGUCCAACCAAAUAUCUUUUUAAACAAUGGUACUAACUUUCUUUUUUAUUUUCUUUUUCAGCAAUUCGUGGACCACGUUCCUGCCUUCAUUCUUUCUCUUCUCCCUUCAGAAGAGAAAGAAUAUCAAUUAAUUAACACACACACACACAACAUAAUUACACAUUUUGAUAGAGUCGUGAUCGAAGGUCUCCUCUUUUAAACUUAUUUAAACGUUAUUGCUUAUUUGGGGUGUCUGUUGUUCGGUUAAAGUAUUAAUUCUCCAUCUUCUUUAAACUUUGUCGUGGUUCUGUUGUCCCAUGUCUCGAUUCGUUACAGGUUGGUUGUAUAUUUGUGGCAACAGUCUCCUCAGUUCUUUAUAAAUACAAAAAAGGGUACCUAGUGAAUUGGUAAUUUUUGGUUUCCACUGUAUCACAUGAAUUGCUUACGAUUUAUGAUUAAUUAUACAGAUAGGUAGGAUAUAUGUAGAGUAUUUAUGGUGUAGGUAUUGUAUAUAUCUACGUACAAGUAGAAUGUAGGCUAAGUUAUGCUCCACAACACCUUACCCCAUUUAGAACGCCCAUGACUCUGUUCUACUACGAGACAAGGUCGACCUCUCGCCCUGAUUUCUUAGCAAGGACUUGAAUAUAUUUGAAUAAGAGGCAAAUUUAAUAUAAAUAAUGUCGUUACAUUCGACGUUUCGUUAGGUAUAUCCGAACAUCGUGACUGUUUCAAAGGUACUACACAAAAAGUGCGUGAUUUUUUAAUCGCCCUUGUUUUGAACUUAUUAAUUUUAU
Molecule: long non-coding RNA, 3125 nt
Filed under: Agrilus planipennis (emerald ash borer)
Lineage: Eukaryota; Metazoa; Arthropoda; Insecta; Coleoptera; Buprestidae
Description: uncharacterized LOC108735724, transcript variant X2
Source: RNAcentral